ACCUCAUCCAGAGGGGUAUCAGGGAUACGGCCCGACGACGCCCCGGCAACCACCGCGCUCGACUCGAUGACGAGGCUCGCGCCCGGCAGGUGCUAAUUCCGUCCCGGUCCAGCGCCGGGGAAGAUGAGAA
Molecule: non-coding RNA, 130 nt
Filed under: Actinoplanes sp.
Lineage: Bacteria; Bacillati; Actinomycetota; Actinomycetes; Micromonosporales; Micromonosporaceae
Also listed under: 1 other name
Description: SAM-I sequence
Rfam family: SAM riboswitch aptamer (S box leader)
About the family: The SAM riboswitch is found upstream of a number of genes which code for proteins involved in methionine or cysteine biosynthesis in Gram-positive bacteria.
Source: RNAcentral